UAUACUAAGAGCACAGGCUCUGAAGCCAGCCCACCAUGGUCCAGCUGGCUCAGUCACUCACCACGAAAAUUGUGCCUCAGUUUCCUCCUCUGUAAAUCUGGGGAAAUAAAAGCACCUACUUCAGAGGAUUGUUAUGAGAAUUCACAAGAUGAUCCAUAUAAAUCACACUGUGUCGUGCCUGGCUACCAGUUGGACCCUAACUGGCAUAAAGAUAAAUUCUCAGAAGUGGACUUGCUGUGCCACACACUUCAGGACUUUCAAACUGAAGGUGGAAGAGAUGGCUUCCUGCUGGCUUCUCUCCCUCAAGGCCUUCCUUCCACCUGUAGCUCUGUGUACGGUCAGGACCCCUUCCUUCUGCCACUCCAUCUGUUGACACAUCUCAGUCUCUGGGCAUCGGAUCAUCCCUCCUGUCGCAUUACAUUUUUUAAAUGAUAAACAAAGCAAAGAGGUGAGACAGAAGGCUGCCACUUCCUAUGGUAAUGGAGGUGUAGGCCUUCAGAAUAUGCCCAGGCAAGGGAAAGAGUAAGCAGCCAUCUGGGUAGCUCCUGAUGGGAGGGAGGGAGGAUUGGAAUAAAUUGUUAAUGUCUUCAAAUUGUGGGAGCUAGGUGGGGAGUUACUGAAUGAGAUCUCCUCUUCAUUUUCUGUCAGGGAGCGGGAGACAUCUGGUCAGCCAUGGCAGCCAUUUCACCAGGUUUUGAAUUUUGGCAGGACUAAAUCAAGGAACAAAGUGCCUUUAACCUAUCAUGGAACUGAUAGUCUUAGUGACUCCGACUCCAUGUGCUUGGGCGGGAAGGCUCCAGGCACUGUCUCCCCAGGCCUGGAGAUGGCUAUAAAUACUUCUGCUUCUUUCCCUUGUAUCAGACAGGACUCUGGCUAGAAACCAGGCUAUCAUCCACCUUGGGUAAAUGUCUGGCUUCAUGUUGUGAUUCAUCAAAUAAAAAAUUAUCAACUGUC
Molecule: long non-coding RNA, 954 nt
Organism: Marmota monax (woodchuck)
Lineage: Eukaryota; Metazoa; Chordata; Mammalia; Rodentia; Sciuridae
Exons: 2
Source: RefSeq, a predicted model, not a curated record